Cervus elaphus (red deer) is the source of this 87-nucleotide long non-coding RNA. RefSeq lists it as uncharacterized. The record is from RefSeq and is a predicted model, not a curated record. NCBI's taxonomy places the organism in Eukaryota, Metazoa, Chordata, Mammalia, Artiodactyla, Cervidae. The transcript has 3 exons.
UCUAUUCAUUUUGUUUCUGUUGUAUUUUGCUCUGCAAAAAUUUAUAAGUUUAAUUUGGUCCCAUUUGUUGAUUUUUGCUCUAAUUUC